This 428-nucleotide ribosomal RNA is filed under the name uncultured bacterium. RNAcentral's name for it is "bacterial SSU rRNA". It matches the Rfam family "Bacterial small subunit ribosomal RNA", at positions 355 to 775 of the family's 1533-position model. The record is from RNAcentral.
UGGGGAAUAUUGGACAAUGGGCGAAAGCCUGAUCCAGCCAUGCCGCGUGUGUGAAGAAGGUCUUCGGAUUGUAAAGCACUUUAAGUUGGGAGGAAGGGCAGUAAGUUAAUACCUUGCUGUUUUGACGUUACCGACAGAAUAAGCAUCGGCUAACUCUGUGCCAGCAGCCGCGGUAAUACAGAGGGUGCAAGCGUUAAUCGGAAUUACUGGGCGUAAAGCGCGCGUAGGUGGUUUGUUAAGUUGGAUGUGAAAGCCCCGGGCUCAACCUGGGAACUGCAUCCAAAACUGGCAAGCUAGAGUACGGUAGAGGGUGGUGGAAUUUCCUGUGUAGCGGUGAAAUGCGUAGAUAUAGGAAGGAACACCAGUGGCGAAGGCGACCACCUGGACUGAUACUGACACUGAGGUGCGAAAGCGUGGGGAGCAAACAG